This is a non-coding RNA of Nothobranchius furzeri (turquoise killifish), 369 nucleotides long. The record is from RefSeq and is a predicted model, not a curated record. NCBI's taxonomy places the organism in Eukaryota, Metazoa, Chordata, Actinopteri, Cyprinodontiformes, Nothobranchiidae.
CACAGAGACCAUGACGGAAAUUCAUCUUCCAGAAAGUCCCAGAGCAGCGUCCACACCCCUGAAAAAACCAAGAUGUGAGGUGUCUGCUGUUGAUUCCAGCUUCCACCUCAGUGACAGUGCAAGCUCAGUGAACUGUUCAAGCCUGGCUGAUCACCUGAUAACUCCUGUCAUCUGGUUGUGACAGCAUGAGGAUGUCCUCACACACCUGUAACCUAUCAGCUCAUCUGGCAGAAUAGAGAGAGAAGAGACAACACCACAUCUCCUGUUCCUGGAAAGCCUUCAGCCAUCCUUCGAUGACUGAGAACCUCCAUCAGCUCUGUCUCCUGUCUGCCUACAAUUAUUAUAAUAAAUAUUGUGUUUGACAAGUUU